GGGGAAUUAGCUCAAAUGGUAGAGCACUUGCUAAGCAUGCAAGAGGUAGCAGUAUCAAGUCCCGCAUUCUCCA
Molecule: transfer RNA, 73 nt
Filed under: Perca flavescens (yellow perch)
Lineage: Eukaryota; Metazoa; Chordata; Actinopteri; Perciformes; Percidae
Rfam family: tRNA
About the family: Transfer RNA (tRNA) molecules are approximately 80 nucleotides in length. Their secondary structure includes four short double-helical elements and three loops (D, anti-codon, and T loops). Further hydrogen bonds mediate the characteristic L-shaped molecular structure. tRNAs have two regions of fundamental functional importance: the anti-codon, which is responsible for specific mRNA codon recognition, and the 3' end, to which the tRNAs corresponding amino acid is attached (by aminoacyl-tRNA synthetases). tRNAs cope with the degeneracy of the genetic code in two manners: having more than one tRNA (with a specific anti-codon) for a particular amino acid; and 'wobble' base-pairing, i.e. permitting non-standard base-pairing at the 3rd anti-codon position.
Source: Rfam by way of RNAcentral